CGUAGACUGACGCGGGCCCCGCGCGGCAGGUGGAGGUGCUGCGGGGGCCCCGCCGCCCGGUCUGCGCCCAGACCCCCGCCCCGCCGCCACCUGGGGGGAAGGACCCCGCUGGCCUCCCAGGGACCCCCACCCUGGCCGCACACGGCGCCCCCGCCGGAGCGGGGGAGGGGAGGGCCGGCCCCGCCAACGUCAGCGACCUGGGCUCAGGUCGGCCGCCCCUCCGCGCCGUGCGGCCACGGCACCAGGGGUGCCCCACCGAAGCCCCGGGAGGAGGCGGGGGAGCCCAGCUUGCAGCCAAGAGCGGCCCAGCGGCGCCACCGGACUUGAGAAAGUUUGUGCGCGCCCCUCCGCGCCACGGCCACGCGCAGAAGAGACUCGGAGCCGGCCCCAGGUCUGGCCCGGAACCGCCACGCGCGGUAAGCAGGACACCCGCGGGCGGGGGCCGCAGCCUGGGGCCCGGGUGGGGGCCGCGGCACCCGGGCCCCUCCCCCUCCGCGGCCUCCACGUCAGCAGCCACCCCCCACCCCCCCGCCCGGCAGCCCGCCCGCCCCGUCCGCCCGCCCGCCCAGGCCUCCCAGCCCCGUGUUGCGCGCUCACUCGUGGGCCCCCGCCCGCUGGUCCUGCCGCUGGCUUACUCGCCCCCCGCGCGGGAGAAGCCGGGACGCUCCGAGGCGCGGCGCCCGGGCCCCGGCUGCUAUAUAGGGCGGCGGCCCAAUCCCGCCUGGACACGUCAGCGCCCGCCCGCCCCGCCGCUGGGGUCCCCGCCGCCCCGGGCCGCCCAGCACCCGGGAGGCCCACCCAACUGCAGGCGUGGUUCUGCAUCCUUUUUUCGGGUGGGGAAGGCGGUGCCGAGGAGUUGGGAAAUUAAUCACCUCCAGAAAGCAGAGGGAGCGCGCCCCGCAAGAACCCGAGUGGAAACAACCGAAGACCAGAAAGGGAGCAGGAAGGACGGCUGCUCUGGAAGCAGAUGUCACCAGUACCGCCCACCUCCCCAAAAUCAGAAGAAAAACCUCAAAGGAUGCCCACCACAUCGUAAACGGAUGGCCACACUGGCACGAGGUCCUACAGCGCAGUGAGGCUCCCAGGCGGCUCCAGGGCUUUCAUUCCCUCAUUCCUGCGUGCCUAUUCCUUAUGUCCCUCACUUUUAUAAACUAUCCCCACCCGAUUCCUUGGCAAUCAACUUAAUCUCCCCCCCAAAAUGUAAAAUCCCCUUCCUUUAAAGCGUGUAUUACUUAUGGCUCCAUCUCUACAUAGAUGUAUACACGCAAAAGAACCGGUGUGUGGCCUCUGAGCCCACGGUGGAUACGCAGGACUGGGCGGAACGGAAUCCCUACUCUCGGGGUCUCCACCCUCCGGGAAGGACUUGUCACUUCUGCAUCCAUUGUGUUUACUAAGUGAUAACUGCCACUGUUUCUUUUAAGGGUAUAAAGGGAGUCGAGCAAUCUGUAGAGAUGUCAGUCUGAACCUCUGGCAAAGUCGCAGGUCAACAGAAUCCUGCAUAGGGCACAGGAUCAACUACAGAAAGAAGCACCAAGAAGUUCCUUAUUGACCAGAAGAGGGGUGUAAAAGAAGUUAAGAAAGACACAGGUUCUUGGCCUGAGUGACUGGGAAGAGCUGCCCUCACUGAGGUGGGUAAAAUUCAAGGAAGACUGGAUGGAUAAGGGGGUGUGAUGCCCUGACUGGGCAGGUGGGGAAGUGGAGCAGGCAACUGUAUGUGCAAGGUCAGGGGAAAAGCCUAGGAGCCAGCAGAAAUACCAUGCACUUCAUGACACCACCUAGGGAGGGGAGCAGAAUCACAGAAGGCAGAGAACACCUGCGGCUUGACGCAGAGAAGGAGCCAAGGAUAUCAUCAGCAAAGCCGUGCUCUAAGUCAGCAGCACGGAACUGGGCAGGUGGGCCUCCCUAGAUGUGGAAAUAGGCAUUCCCUUCUGUGUCACUGCUGUGGUUUGUUGGUAACCUUUCCGUGGGGAUUAACCAAUCAGCAACUAGUGCAAGUGUGUUUUUUGUUGCUGUUUUGUUUUUGAGGGCUCAGCACUGCAGAGGGAGAUGGAGAAAGAGUAACGGGUAGGGAUUCGGUCCGCUGUCAAGGAACUUCCAAUAAAGCUAGGAAGUCAGCACAGGCACAGUACCUAGUACACAGGACACCGUAAAGAGUUAGUUUAAAAAACACUGUUAGCAGAAGAGAUUACAAAAUCAUAUGCUAACUUUGUGCUAAUAACCGUCCAGAAUGCUUCUGUGCUGAUGCUCACAACCAGCAUUUCCUCCCAGCAGGCUUAGCACACUGAAACUAAUAAAUAGUUCGUAGAAGCAAAUUUUAGAAAUUCCAUGGCUAGCAAUAUUCAGACCAAAUGAAGUGUGAACGUCUGUCUGUGACAUUUGAGUUUUCAGCCCUCAAAGGGACGGGGGAGAAGUUUGGGUCUGCUCAAGGUAGGAGGUGAGAAGAGAUACCCUCCUAUUCCAUAAAGUCAUGAUCCCCAAAAGGGCUACACUUACCAGAAGAUAGGUAGAUCAAAAAAAGAAGAAGAAAAGCCCACUAGUGUAGAGGGGACUACAGGAUGCCUUCUCUGACUAUCCUGAGCUGGCAGACAGAAGCAUCUCUUGAGCUGUAGGGACAAUGGACUAGUACUCUACAACCAAGCCCAUUUGUCCAGGAACCCCUAGCCCAAACUGAGAUAUUAACAAAACAGAAAGCAAUUCCCCCCCACCCCGCCUCAGGAAAGAAUAAACCUCAUACCAGGCUAAAAAGGAUACCCACAGAUCAGCACAAAUGGUAGAGAGGCUAAAAGCCCAAAGCUCAAAAAGAAGGAAGGAUGGAUUAGAAGUAGGAUUAGACUCAAGAACUUCGGGAGACAGAACUAAGAUUGAGACAAUAAAAAAGCAUAAGAGACAUAAAGGUGACAUUUUAGAAAAAAAAUCGAGAGAUGGAACGAAUGAAAGAGCUAAGAACCAUGGAAUGAGAAACUCUAACAUAUGUCUAUAACUGGAGUUCCAAAACAAAAAGAGAAAAGAAAAAAUCCAAAGAACAGAGAAGAAACAUUUUUUAAAAUAGCUGAGAAAAUUCUAAGAUUUAAUGAUACAACAUUCUUCCCUCAUCCCAAAAAAGACAGAGAAGGUGUCUAGCAGGAUAAUUUAAACUAAUCCAAAUCAAAACACACUACAGAGUAACCUCAGAGCACCAAAGACAAGAGCAGGACCUUAAAAGCAACUAGAGAGAAAAGACAGGUUACUCAUAAAGAAUACUAUGAGACCAAAGGCAGACCACUUAAAACAAUACAUACCAGAGGAUAAUGGCUAUAUAUAAAUUAUGGCGAAAGAAAUAACUGUCAAUUUGGAUUUAAGAAUUCUUUUUCAUUUAAGAAUGAGAAUAGACAUAUUCAAAGAUAAAGCAACUACUACCAAUAGAUCCCUGCUGACAGACCUACUAAAGGACAUAUUUCAGCAAGAAAAUGAAAGCCAGAGAGACCAGAAAGAAGGAAUACUGAUAAACCAGCAACCUAGAUAAAGUGAAACAAGUGGUGACCCUAUACUAAUAUCAACAAUAAAAUUUGAAGGGAAUUAAAUUAUAGAUAGGUACGUAAGCAGAAUAUGCAAGUACAAAAUAAAAUAAAAGACAGAAUUAAAAUGCUUAGGCAGCAAUAAUAUAUAAGGUGGAAGGGGGAUAUGAAGUUGCAAGGUUUCAAGAUUCUUAUUAUUUGGGGAGAGGCUAGAGAUACUAAUUUUAGCCCUUGUUGAGAAUGAAUGUUAAAAAUUUAAAGACAAUCUAGGAAAAACAAAGAGUUUUUAACAUUCAAACUAAACUCUUACUCAAAUGGAAGUUAUUGGCAAUGUUCUAGAUCUUGGAUUAGGUGGUAGGUUCAGCGGUAUUCAUUACGAUGUACAUUAUUACUGGUUACAUUAUACUGUAUUAAUAAUUGUUAAAGAAAAGAGAGAAAACAAGAAAAAAGAAUAGGAGGCAAGAAAAGUAAAAGAAGCAAUGAAAAAGCAAGGUAAAUAAAACACAAAACUGAUGAGAGGAAUGAAUUCAAACCCAUCAGUAAUCUAAAUACGUGUUAACAGACUAAACUGACCAACUCUAACAGCAGCUAUAGGCCAUUCAACAGUCCUAAACCAUACAGACAUAUAGGCUGAAAUAAAGAGAUGGAAGAAGUACUCCGAGCAAAUACUAACCAUAUGAAAGUUGGUUAUAUUAUUUUCAGAUAACACAGACUGUAGGAUAAAAAUCAUUAUUAAGAACAGAGAAGGUCAAGAACUUAAAAAUUCAGUAACUCUGAUUACAUGUAUCUAAUAACAUAGCUGCAAAACAUAUAAAGUAAAAACUGAAGGUUACUAGGAGAAAUUGAUAUAUCCAAGGUUAAAGGGUGAGACUGACCCAACUCUCUUGGUAACACAGGUUAUGGGAUUGGAAAAUGUAUAGAGGAUGCAAACACAAUUAAUAAAUCUACUUUAUUGAACACAUGA
Homo sapiens (human) is the source of this 4458-nucleotide long non-coding RNA. RefSeq annotates it as HDLBP antisense RNA 1. The transcript is spliced from 2 exons. NCBI's taxonomy places the organism in Eukaryota, Metazoa, Chordata, Mammalia, Primates, Hominidae. The record is from RefSeq and is marked validated.